RNAcentral lists this ribosomal RNA (960 nucleotides) under uncultured Arthrobacter sp. RNAcentral describes it as "bacterial SSU rRNA". It matches the Rfam family "Bacterial small subunit ribosomal RNA", at positions 33 to 1003 of the family's 1533-position model. The record is from RNAcentral. Lineage: Bacteria; Bacillati; Actinomycetota; Actinomycetes; Micrococcales; Micrococcaceae.
GCCCUUGCGGCGUUGCUUACCAUGCAAGUCGAACGAUGACUUUUGUGCUUGCACAGAAUGAUUAGUGGCGAACGGGUGAGUAACACGUGAGUAACCUGCCCCUGACUCUGGGAUAAGCCUGGGAAACUGGGUCUAAUACUGGAUAUGCACCGUAGACCGCAUGGUUUUUGGUGGAAAGAAUUUUGGUCAGGGAUGGACUCGCGGCCUAUCAGCUUGUUGGUGAGGUAAUGGCUCACCAAGGCGACGACGGGUAGCCGGCCUGAGAGGGUGACCGGCCACACUGGGACUGAGACACGGCCCAGACUCCUACGGGAGGCAGCAGUGGGGAAUAUUGCACAAUGGGCGAAAGCCUGAUGCAGCGACGCCGCGUGAGGGAUGACGGCCUUCGGGUUGUAAACCUCUUUCAGUAGGGAAGAAGCGAAAGUGACGGUACCUGCAGAAGAAGCGCCGGCUAACUACGUGCCAGCAGCCGCGGUAAUACGUAGGGCGCAAGCGUUAUCCGGAAUUAUUGGGCGUAAAGAGCUCGUAGGCGGUUUGUCGCGUCUGCCGUGAAAGUCCGAGGCUCAACUUCGGAUCUGCGGUGGGUACGGGCAGACUAGAGUGAUGUAGGGGAGACUGGAAUUCCUGGUGUAGCGGUGAAAUGCGCAGAUAUCAGGAGGAACACCGAUGGCGAAGGCAGGUCUCUGGGCAUCUACUGACGCUGAGGAGCGAAAGCAUGGGGAGCGAACAGGAUUAGAUACCCUGGUAGUCCAUGCCGUAAACGUUGGGCACUAGGUGUGGGGGACAUUCCACGUUUUCCGCGCCGUAGCUAACGCAUUAAGUGCCCCGCCUGGGGAGUACGGCCGCAAGGCUAAAACUCAAAGGAAUUGACGGGGGCCCGCACAAGCGGCGGAGCAUGCGGAUUAAUUCGAUGCAACGCGAAGAACCUUACCAAGGCUUGACAUGUGCUAGAUCGCCAUA